UGGGGAAUAUUGCACAAUGGACGGAAGUCGGAUGCAGCAACGCCGCGUGCGGGAUGACGGCCUUCGGGUUGUAAACCGCUUUUUCUCAUGACGAAGUUUUUUGACGGUAGUGGGGGAAGAAGCACCGGCUAACUACGUGCCAGCAGCCGCGGUGAUACGUAGGGUGCGAGCGUUGUCCGGAAUUAUUGGGCGUAAAGAGCUUGUAGGCGGUUUGUCGCGUCGAUAGUGCAAACUCAGUGCUUAACGCUGAGCCUGCUGUUGAUACGGGCAGACUAGAGGAAGGUAGGGGAGAAUGGAAUUCCCGGUGGAGCGGUGGAAUGCGCAGAUAUCGGGAGGAACACCGGUGGCGAAGGCGGUUCUCUGGGCCUUUCCUGACGCUGAGAAGCGAAAGCGUGGGGAGCGAACAGG
This 408-nucleotide ribosomal RNA is filed under the name Fusobacteriota bacterium. Its description in RNAcentral is "Fusobacteria bacterium partial 16S ribosomal RNA". It matches the Rfam family "Bacterial small subunit ribosomal RNA", at positions 355 to 776 of the family's 1533-position model. The record is from RNAcentral. Lineage: Bacteria; Fusobacteriati; Fusobacteriota.